This 561-nucleotide ribosomal RNA is filed under the name uncultured bacterium. RNAcentral's name for it is "bacterial SSU rRNA". It matches the Rfam family "Bacterial small subunit ribosomal RNA", at positions 359 to 917 of the family's 1533-position model. The record is from RNAcentral.
GGAUUGAAAUGGGCGCAGCCUGAUCCAGCACUCCGCGUGGAGGAUGAAGGUCUUCGGAUCGUAAACUCCUGUCAGAUGGGGCGAAGGCUCCAGGGUGAACAAUCCUGGAGCUUGACGGUACCAUCAGAGGAAGCCCCGGCUAACUCCGUGCCAGCAGCCGCGGUAAUACGGAGGGGGCGAGCGUUAUUCGGAAUUAUUGGGCGUAAAGGGCGCGUAGGCGGCCCGGUAAGUCAAAGGUGAAAUCCCUCGGCUCAACUGAGGAACUGCCUUUGAAACUGUCGGGCUUGAGGCCGGGAGAGGGUAGUGGAAUUCCCAGUGUAGCGGUGAAAUGCGUAGAUAUUGGGAGGAACACCAGUGGCGAAGGCGGCUACCUGGACCGGUUCUGACGCUGAUGCGCGAAAGCGUGGGUAGCAAACAGGAUUAGAUACCCUGGUAGUCCACGCUGUAAACGAUGGGUGCUCGGUGUCGCGGGUAUCGACCCCUGCGGUGCCUUAGCUAACGCGUUAAGCACCCCGCCUGGGGAGUACGGUCGCAAGGCUGAAACUCAAAAGAAUUGACGGA